UGCAGGCUCCGUCCCGCAGGUCCUUGGCCUCUGGAAGCCAAGCUGAGUGGGCGGAGCUCCGGGGAGGGGAGGGAGGGUGG
Molecule: microRNA precursor, 80 nt
Filed under: Echinops telfairi (small Madagascar hedgehog)
Lineage: Eukaryota; Metazoa; Chordata; Mammalia; Afrosoricida; Tenrecidae
Description: miRNA (ENSETEG00000026637.1)
Source: RNAcentral